This 22-nucleotide microRNA is filed under the name Monodelphis domestica (gray short-tailed opossum). Its description in RNAcentral is "Mdo-Mir-208-P2_5p* (star (passenger))". Lineage: Eukaryota; Metazoa; Chordata; Mammalia; Didelphimorphia; Didelphidae. The record is from RNAcentral.
GAGCUUUUGGUCCGGGUUAUAC